Molecule: long non-coding RNA, 1847 nt
Organism: Spea bombifrons (plains spadefoot toad)
Lineage: Eukaryota; Metazoa; Chordata; Amphibia; Anura; Pelobatidae
Exons: 2
Source: RefSeq, a predicted model, not a curated record
UCCAGUUCUGGACUCUCGUACUGAUCUCCAGUUCUGGACUCUCGUACUGACCUCCAGUUCUGGACUCUCAUACUGAUCUCCAGUUCUGGACUCUCGUACUGAUCUCUAGUUCUGGACUCUCGUACUGAUCUCCAGUUCUGGACUCUCGUACUGAUCUCCAGUUCUGGACUCUCGUACUGAUCUCCAGCCCUGGACUCUCGUACUGACCUCCAGUUCUGGACUCUCGUACUGAUCUCCAUUCUGGGUCUCUAACAUCAAAGGCGGAAAAUUGAAGGCCAACAUCUGAUGAAUUUUUUAAUUUGAGUCAAUUGUAGUAUCCCAACACCUUUUGCGUAUACUAUCAUGGGCACAUCCAAGAUGAAUUCAACUUUCAAGAAACCUUGGAUAUUACUGAGUCAUCCAUGAAAGAACAAAGAAUGUGUUUAAUUACUUCGGUUGAAUAGCUUUAUUCCAAACCUCUUUUAUGACGGAAGCUACAUCCAAAGACCCAAGAAAGACUUAAAAAAAAACAAAAACCAAAAAAAAAACCACGAAGCUUACUCCUACUAGUAUAAUAGAGAUCGCUUUCCAAUUGACAGUGACAGAACCUUGUUUGUGAUGAUAGAAUGUCACUUGCUUGUCAUGGAAUGGAAUUAUUUUUAUGUUGUGGGACAAAUUGUAAUGGUUACGUUGGCUGAUAUUUAUUUAUUAAUGCAAUUAAGACAAUGUGUAAUUAUUUAUAAUUUUCAGUUUAAAAAAAACGCAAUAUUUUUUGAUUGAUUUCUUUUCGUACCCUUUUUCAAACUGUGCGUUGGCUCAAUGUACAAUUAAUUUAUUACAAUCACUUUGGGAUAAAUGUAUUGCCUAUUUCUAUAAUUUAAUUUAAUUUAAUCUGUAGAUUUAGAUUUGUAAAUUACUUUGCUUAUUUAACAAAACCUUUUAGGAUAACAGCAUCAGAGAUGCUUUGAUACUGUAUUUUUAGUUGCUUUAGAAAGCAGCCAAAUUCUGUUACAUACAGGGGAAAAUACAGGUUACAAAAAAAAAAAAGAAAUACUUUUUCCAAAAAUUGUAUUUAAUUUUACAGUCUUUUUUUUUUUUAGGCUCUUCAAUUAAAUUAUUUAAGUUAAUCCCCCACUAGACACAGAUGCUUGGGGGGGGGUAAUUUUUUAAGCAUUUUAUGCCGUAGGGCAACUUAUUUAUUUAAUUUAUUCGGCAUGCGCAGAUAAGCUGCACAUGUACAGUUUAUAUUUUUUAUUUAAAACAACUUAAGCACUACUUUAUUUGCUGAUCAGAACAACAGGGCGAAAUUUGUGGACAAGCAUUUACUGACUCUGAUGUUUUUUUGUUUUUUUUUUGGAAUAGGAUGACAAUGCUUUAUUUGAUCACCAAAGAUAAUUUUUUUUUCCAGAAACUUUGUAGCGAUAUGGCUUCUAUCACAACCUGGAAAAAAAAAAAACACACAAAAAAAAUACUAGUAAUAAUAAUAAACCAUGACAUUCCAAACCAAAAAAAAAGAGAGAGAGAGAGAAACCCUUAAACUAGCUGCUUCCAAGAAUGAACUACGUGUGUGAAAUGGAAAAAAAAAUAAUAAAAAAAAAAACAUUUCUAUUCCAAGUGAGAACCAAAAAUAGGCUACCUCACUGAAUUUUUUCCUUUUUGUAAUUUUAAUCGUGUUGAUACCAAAGAUACCAAAGAUUUGUUUUUAUGUGCGGUCUGUCCUUUGCAUCUGCUCUUUUCCUAACUCUAAUCUCCUUUCAUUAACGAGAGGCCUACAAGGCAUGGCCGCCGGUCGUCUUGAAGGCCCUUUUUUUAACCAAAAAAAAAAAUCUUGUAUAUAUACAGCUGAAGCUCAAAUACCCCAAAGAAAA